Non-coding RNA from Caenorhabditis elegans, 137 nucleotides. The record is from Ensembl. Lineage: Eukaryota; Metazoa; Nematoda; Chromadorea; Rhabditida; Rhabditidae.
AAAAAGAAAAGAAAGAAAAAGGAACAGAAACACAACAAUAGGAAGACGUGUUUGAUAGCGGGUGGGCCCCCCCGGCUCCCGAAAGUGUUGACAAAGUGUGGAAAGAAGAAGAAAAGAGGCAUCUUCCCGGACAAAAA